Molecule: transfer RNA, 58 nt
Filed under: Pseudomonas psychrophila
Lineage: Bacteria; Pseudomonadati; Pseudomonadota; Gammaproteobacteria; Pseudomonadales; Pseudomonadaceae
Description: tRNA-Cys
Rfam family: tRNA
About the family: Transfer RNA (tRNA) molecules are approximately 80 nucleotides in length. Their secondary structure includes four short double-helical elements and three loops (D, anti-codon, and T loops).
Source: RNAcentral
UGAUUUAUAUAUUAAAAAUAGUGGAUUGCAAAUCCGCCCACGCCGGUUCGAUUCCGGC